This 465-nucleotide ribosomal RNA is filed under the name Vreelandella stevensii. RNAcentral describes it as "partial 16S ribosomal RNA". It matches the Rfam family "Bacterial small subunit ribosomal RNA", at positions 338 to 795 of the family's 1533-position model. Lineage: Bacteria; Pseudomonadati; Pseudomonadota; Gammaproteobacteria; Oceanospirillales; Halomonadaceae. The record is from RNAcentral.
CCUACGGGUGGCUGCAGUGGGGAAUAUUGGACAAUGGGGGGAACCCUGAUCCAGCCAUGCCGCGUGUGUGAAGAAGGCCCUCGGGUUGUAAAGCACUUUCAGUGAGGAAGAACGCCUGGUGGUUAAUACCCAUCAGGAAAGACAUCACUCACAGAAGAAGCACCGGCUAACUCCGUGCCAGCAGUCGCGGUAAUACGGAGGGUGCGAGCGUUAAUCGGAAUUACUGGGCGUAAAGCGCGCGUAGGUGGCUUGAUAAGCCGGUUGUGAAAGCCCCGGGCUCAACCUGGGAACGGCAUCCGGAACUGUCAAGCUAGAGUGCAGGAGAGGAAGGUAGAAUUCCCGGUGUAGCGGUGAAAUGCGUAGAGAUCGGGAGGAAUACCAGUGGCGAAGGCGGCCUUCUGGACUGACACUGACACUGAGGUGCGAAAGCGUGGGUAGCAAACUGGAUUAGAUACCCCUGUAGUC